RNAcentral lists this unclassified non-coding RNA (247 nucleotides) under plant metagenome. RNAcentral's name for it is "partial contains small subunit ribosomal RNA, internal transcribed spacer 1, and 5.8S ribosomal RNA". The stretch from base 1 to 54 matches the Rfam family "Eukaryotic small subunit ribosomal RNA", at positions 1778 to 1831 of the family's 1831-position model. The record is from RNAcentral.
GGAAGUAAAAGUCGUAGCAAGGUCUCCGUUGGUGAACCAGCGGAGGGAUCAUUACAGGACUCGCAAGACUCCUACAACCCUGUGAACUUAACUAUAAGCACGUUGCUUCGGCGGGUGUCUCGGAGGGGGUUCUCCCUCCCCGAGACGCUAAACCCGCCGGCAGCCUACUAUACUCUGUCUCUUUGCGUUGGCAUCUCGAGUACAAUCAAACAAGUUAAAACUUUCAACAACGGAUCUCUUGGUUCUG